AUGGACGACGAAGAAGCUCUGCUCGAAGCAGCGGGCGUCGCAGUGCGGCGGUCGCAAGAAGCAGAGGAAGGAUGGAGAGGCAGGGGAGCGCGAGCGAGAAUGAUGUCCGCCACCCCCCUCGCCCCAAUUUAUAAGCCUCGGUUUGAACGUGGGGGAGUGGGAUCGUUUGCGCUCGUCUUUCCCACUACCCCGCAGCGCGCGUGCGCAUGCAAUAACUGCACGAAAAAAGAGCAACCGACCCCCGGACGCCGCAAUAAAUCCGUGCGCGUGGGCCAAGGACACGCGGCGGCGGGCCCCGGCACGUCGACCAGUUCCGUCACGCGCGUACACCCGCCAACUUAG
Molecule: ribosomal RNA, 342 nt
Filed under: Triticum aestivum (bread wheat)
Lineage: Eukaryota; Viridiplantae; Streptophyta; Magnoliopsida; Poales; Poaceae
Description: partial small subunit ribosomal RNA
Source: RNAcentral